Small nuclear RNA from Danio aesculapii, 102 nucleotides. Lineage: Eukaryota; Metazoa; Chordata; Actinopteri; Cypriniformes; Danionidae. The record is from RefSeq and is a predicted model, not a curated record.
UCACUAUGGCAGUAUAUAUACUAAAAUUGGAUGGAUACAGAGAAGAUUAGCAUGGCCCGUUAAAAGGAUGACAUGCAAAUCUGUGAAGCGCUCCAUAUGUAA